This 378-nucleotide long non-coding RNA is filed under the name Capsicum annuum. Its description in RNAcentral is "long non-coding RNA (CANN_LNC014696)". Lineage: Eukaryota; Viridiplantae; Streptophyta; Magnoliopsida; Solanales; Solanaceae. The record is from RNAcentral.
GCACCUUAUAAUGUGAUCGAAUAAAAUGGAGGAGAUGGUUCUCUUCAAGAUGAACUCUGCCUUCACAUUAGUCUGCUUCUACUUCUUACAUGCACCAUCAGUUUCCUGUUGACAAGAGGACUUGUGUUACUUUCGUUGACAAUAUCCCACAAGUCCUCACCCAUAAGGUAUGAUUCCAUAAAUGUCUCCCAUACCUUGUAAUUGGACUGAUUCAACAACUCUACUCCCAUUCUAUUAAUACGGUCGCUUAAAUCCAUCGCACAAACCAGUUGAAUCAAUCACAAACCUGAUCUUGAAAUAAACACAAGUCAAUCUAUGAUUUAGGCUCUGAUACCAUGUAGAGAAUAGCAGAACAAAUGUGUAAUUGGAGAAACCUUU